This 523-nucleotide ribosomal RNA is filed under the name uncultured bacterium. Its description in RNAcentral is "bacterial SSU rRNA". It matches the Rfam family "Bacterial small subunit ribosomal RNA", at positions 383 to 924 of the family's 1533-position model. The record is from RNAcentral.
CUGAUGCAGCAACGCCGCGUGGAGGAUGACACAUUUCGGUGCGUAAACUCCUUUUAUAUGAGAAGAUAAUGACGGUAUUAUAUGAUAAGCACCGGCUAACUCCGUGCCAGCAGCCGCGGUAAUACGGGGGGUGCAAGCGUUACUCGGAAUCACUGGGCGUAAAGAGCAUGUAGGCGGAUUAAUAAGUUUGAAGUGAAAUCCUAUAGCUUAACUAUAGAACUGCUUUGAAAACUGUUAAUCUAGAAUGUGGGAGAGGUAGAUGGAAUUUCUGGUGUAGGGGUAAAAUCCGUAGAGAUCAGAAGGAAUACCGAUUGCGAAGGCGAUCUACUGGAACAUUAUUGACGCUGAGAUGCGAAAGCGUGGGGAGCAAACAGGAUUAGAUACCCUGGUAGUCCACGCCCUAAACGAUGUACACUAGUUGUUGUGAGACUUGAUCUUGCAGUAAUGCAGUUAACACAUUAAGUGUACCGCCUGGGGAGUACGGUCGCAAGAUUAAAACUCAAAGGAAUAGACGGGGGACCCC